AGUCGGACGAGAAGGUACCUUCGGGUACUGGAGAGUGGCGCACGGGUGAGUAACGCGUGGGGACCUACCUCUUAGUGGGGGAUAACGGUUGGAAACGACCGCUAAUACCGCAUACGCCCUUCGGGGGAAAGAUUUAUCGCUAAGAGAUGGACCCGCGUUGGAUUAGAUAGUUGGUGAGGUAACGGCUCACCAAGUCGGCGAUCCAUAGCUGGUUUGAGAGGAUGAUCAGCCACACUGGGACUGAGACACGGCCCAGACUCCUACGGGAGGCAGCAGUGGGGAAUAUUGGACAAUGGGGGCAACCCUGAUCCAGCCAUGCCGCGUGAGUGAAGAAGGCCUUCGGGUUGUAAAGCUCUUUCAGAUGCGAAGAUGAUGACGGUAACAUCAGAAGAAGCCCCGGCUAAUUUCGUGCCAGCAGCCGCGGUAAUACAAAAGGGGCUAGCGUUGUUCGGAUUUACUGGGCGUAAAGGGCACGCAGGCGGUCCUGCCAGUCAGGGGUGAAAGCCCGGGGCUCAACCCCGGAACUGCCUCUGAUACUGCAAGACUAGAGACUAGGAGAGGGUGGUGGAAUUCCCAGUGUAGAGGUGAAAUUCGUAAAUAUUGGGAGGAACACCAGAGGCGAAGGCGGCCACCUGGACUAGAUCUGACGCUCAGGUGCGAAAGCGGGGGGAGCAAACAGGAUUAGAUACCCUGGUAGUCCCCCCCGUAAACAAUGAGUGCUAGUUGCCGGGAUUUCCAUUUUCGGGACGCCGCCUACGCCUUUAACCCUUCCCCCGGGGGGAUACGGUCCCCAGAAUUAAAACUCA
This 806-nucleotide ribosomal RNA is filed under the name uncultured Alphaproteobacteria bacterium. RNAcentral's name for it is "bacterial SSU rRNA". It matches the Rfam family "Bacterial small subunit ribosomal RNA", at positions 60 to 903 of the family's 1533-position model. The record is from RNAcentral. Lineage: Bacteria; Pseudomonadati; Pseudomonadota; Alphaproteobacteria.